Molecule: ribosomal RNA, 442 nt
Filed under: uncultured bacterium
Lineage: Bacteria
Description: partial 16S ribosomal RNA
Rfam family: Bacterial small subunit ribosomal RNA
Source: RNAcentral
CCUACGGGAGGCAGCAGUGGGGGAUAUUGCACAAUGGGGGAAACCCUGAUGCAGCGACGCCGCGUGGGCGAAGAAGUAUUUCGGUAUGUAAAGCCCUAUCAGCAGGGAAGAAGAAAUGACGGUACCUGAGUAAGAAGCACCGGCUAAAUACGUGCCAGCAGCCGCGGUAAUACGUAUGGUGCAAGCGUUAUCCGGAUUUACUGGGUGUAAAGGGAGCGCAGGCGGCACGGCAAGCCUGAUGUGAAAGCCCGGGGCCCAACCGCGGGACUGCAUUGGAAACUACCGGGCUGGAGUGCCGGAGAGGUAGGCGGAAUUCCUAGUGUAGCGGUGAAAUGCGUAGAUAUUAGGAGGAACACCAGUGGCGAAGGCGGCCUACUGGACGGUGACUGACGCUGAGGCUCGAAAGCGUGGGGAGCAAACAGGAUUAGAUACCCUUGUAGUC